RNAcentral lists this non-coding RNA (204 nucleotides) under uncultured Prevotella sp. The record is from RNAcentral. Lineage: Bacteria; Pseudomonadati; Bacteroidota; Bacteroidia; Bacteroidales; Prevotellaceae.
UGGUUCCCAGUACAUAUAUGAAUGUGCCUGGGCUAAGAUGGGAACGCAGUGAAAUUCUGCGACAUUACCCGAUGCUGUGAGUCCUUUUUUCAGAGGCAGCCAACGAUGGUCACUGGAAAGCCAACGGUCAUGACAAUACACCGUUGCAAAGUUCCGGGAAGGCCGGCUGCCGUAAGGAUGAAGUCAGAAGACCUGCCACGUGCC